GAUGAACGCUGGCGGCGUGCUUAACACAUGCAAGUCGAACGGAAAGGCGCGGCUUUUGUGGGGUGCUCGAUUGGCGAGCGGGGGAGUAACACGUGAGUAACCUGCCCUUGUCUUUGGGAUAACUUCAGGAAACUGGGGCUAAUAUCGGAUAGGAGCUCCUGCUGCAUGGGGGGGGUUGGAAAGUGUCGGCGGUUGGGGAUGGACUCGCGGGUUAUCCGCUUGUUGGUCGGGUAGUGGCUUACCAAGGCUUUGACGGGUAGCCGGCCUGAGAGGGUGACCGGCCACAUUGGGCCUGAGAUAGGGCCCAGACUCCUACGGGAGGCAGUGGUGGGGAAUAUUGCACAAUGGGCGGAAGCCUGAUGCAGAAACCCCGCGUGCGUGAUGACCGCCUUCGAGUUGAAAACCGAUUUGGACUGUGACGAAGCGUGAGUGACGGUAAUGAGUCAAGAAGCCCCGGCUAACUACGUG
This 468-nucleotide ribosomal RNA is filed under the name uncultured bacterium. RNAcentral describes it as "partial 16S ribosomal RNA". It matches the Rfam family "Bacterial small subunit ribosomal RNA", at positions 28 to 507 of the family's 1533-position model. The record is from RNAcentral.